RNAcentral lists this ribosomal RNA (468 nucleotides) under uncultured bacterium. Its description in RNAcentral is "partial 16S ribosomal RNA". It matches the Rfam family "Bacterial small subunit ribosomal RNA", at positions 28 to 507 of the family's 1533-position model. The record is from RNAcentral.
GACGAACGCUGGCGGCGUGCUUAACACAUGCAAGUCGAACGGAAAGGCCCUGCUUUUGUGGGGUGCUCGAGUGGCGAACGGGUGAGUAACACGUGAGUAACCUGCCCUUGACUUUGGGAUAACUUCAGGAAACUGGGGCUAAUACCGGAUAGGAGCUCCUGCUGCAUGGUGGGGGUUGGAAAGUUUCGGCGGUUGGGGAUGGACUCGCGGCUUAUCAGCUUGUUGGUGGGGUAGUGGCUUACCAAGGCUUUGACGGGUAGCCGGCCUGAGAGGGUGACCGGCCACAUUGGGACUGGAAUACAGCCCAGACUCCUACGGGAGGCAGCAGUGGGGAAUAUUGCACAAUGGACGGAAGCCUAGUGCAGCAACGCCGCGUGCGGGAUGACGGCCUUCGGGUUGUAAACCGCUUUCGCCUGUGACGAAGAGGGAGUGACGGUAAUGGGUAAGGAAGCACCGGCUAACUACGUG